UGUAUAAGUGUGCCUGAAUGUAUUUCUGCAUCACAUGCAUGCAGUGUCCAUGGAAGCCAGACGAUGGUGUCAGAUCCCUCACAACUCUAGUUGUGAGCCACAGGGUGGGUACUGAAACUUGAACCUGGGUCCUCAGGAAGAGUAUCCAGUGCUCUUAACCUCUAAGCCAUCCCACCACCCCUGAGAAGUGGAUUUUUGACCUGAGUCCAUUUCAUAAUAGGCCCAUUGAAUCCAGAAAGCCAUCUGUGUUACCUUCUUGGCUCCCGAAUACACAGCUGAGCCGAAAUAUUCACUCUUGGUGAAUUCCUAGAGAACUGACCACAUGGAAAGACCUGGAGCUGCCAUCCCUGUAGCAUGGAAAACAUUUUGGGUGACUUGGGAAUGUGAGUGCCAUCUUCAAAGGCCUGCAAGAUGCAGGGCUGGUGAAUCCCUCUCCUCUCCUUGUGGAGACAGAUGGUCAUUAGGGAAUGACAGUCCAUGGAGUUUUGUAACCAUAGCUAUUCUUCAAGAGAUGGCCUUUGAGCUGGAGCAAACGCCUGUCGCCUGCCACACACCUUUCAUUCUGCCUGAUAUGUGUUCUGGGCUCACAUGACCACGAAACAGCAGAAGCACACGGUGCUAAGAGCAACACUGCUCCCCCUCAGCAGUCUCCAGUACUUGAUUGGAAACCCCAAAAUUGCAUUUCCUGGGUUCUUUUUACAGCUGGGAUUCUGGAGAUGGGUCAAAAUACUAUCACAUUCAAGGGCUGGCAGACAGCAUGGGGGACCAGGUCUGGAUGUCUGUUUUCAUCUACAAACAGCAGCCCUUAUUUAGUUCUACUAAACGACAGAAUUAUGAUGACUUAUUUACAGACCUUAAUUAAUUUGGUUUUCCAUUGCAGAAUUUGGCAAUGCUUCUUGCCAUGAAAUAGAUUGAGUUUGCCAAUAGGCAGAGCCGAGGAGGCUGCUCGUGUAACUGGAAUGGGGCCGAAGGGAGCCGAAGCAGAACACAAGUCACUGGCAGUGUUCUGGCUUUCUGAGCUGACUCCUGACUGUGGCAUACCUGGAUUCCGUGUUCCAAUAAUUGACAUUUAAGUAACGCUGAGUUCUUCAUCUACAACAGGUGAAAUGUCACGUCUUGUUCCCAGCCUCUGAAGAUUCAAUUACGUGGACCAUUUUCCAGCAAUGCUGAGGCCGCGCAAACUGCUUGAAGGGAGCUGCUGAGGUAUCCCUGCCAUCAUAAACAGGAACCCAGCUGUUUGAACGAUGGAGCUUUGUUUAGUUUAAAGCAUUUGAAAAUGUGGUUGUUCAUGGUGCCAUGGCGAACCUCCUGUGUGGAAAAUGCAGGAUACUUCUGAGCCACGCACGCACGUGUCAAGACUUGCAGGUGGGCCCAGGUUUGGGCCAGCUGGGACUUUUCCAGGCCUGUGUUCUGUCACUCAGGGAAGGUGACUAGAAAGGAAGCGUGUGCAUUGGUGAUUCAGCCUUUGACUGAUGCUGUGACACUUUACAGUACUCCAUAAAUGCCACCUCCCUCCUCCCAAAUCAAAGUCACAUUUCUACUC
Molecule: long non-coding RNA, 1543 nt
Organism: Peromyscus leucopus (white-footed mouse)
Lineage: Eukaryota; Metazoa; Chordata; Mammalia; Rodentia; Cricetidae
Exons: 3
Source: RefSeq, a predicted model, not a curated record